CAUUCUCUGAUUAGCAUGCAGAAGCUUCUAGAAGACAAAAAGACUUCAAAAAAUAGCUCUAAAAAGAACCUUACAGUAUGCAAAUAAAAAAAAAAUCCUUAGUAAAACAGUUUGGCCAUCUGAGCAGGAAGCAAAAAUUCUUGUGGCUUAUGAAAAUAUUUCCAGGGCUUCACAUUGUCUUUAUCAAGUCUUUAAUUACUUAGAAAAAUAAUGGAGUCUCCUCUGUUAAAAGAGAUCUUUAACUAUGGCUAUGUUAAAGUCUUCUGCCACUCACAGAUACUGUUUUACCCUCGAGUCUUCUCUGAAAACACUGACAGUGAACUACAGACAAAAGUGCUUCACCUUUACACAGAUCAUGGAGAAGAUUCUGACAAGUACUCUGAAGUGCAGGAUCCUACUAACUUUAAGAUCAAAACAGGGAACUGGGUAAAGAUUUCUAAAACAUUAAUGGAAACCUGAUUGAUUAAAAAAGCUGCUAAUCCAAGAUGAAGCAAAAUGAAAAUUAAUUACUUAAGACUGAAUCAACUGAUGAGGAUUAUAAUUUUCAUGAGUUCAUUUAAAACAAUGCUAGUUCUGGGGCCCCUGGGUGGCUCAGUGAUUGAGCAUCUGCCUUUGGCUCAGGUCAUGAUCCUGGGGUCCUGAGGUCCUGGGAUCCAGUCCCACAUCGGGCUCCCUGCAUGGAGCCUGCUUCUCC
This is a long non-coding RNA of Canis lupus familiaris (dog), 694 nucleotides long. RefSeq lists it as uncharacterized. Lineage: Eukaryota; Metazoa; Chordata; Mammalia; Carnivora; Canidae. The record is from RefSeq and is a predicted model, not a curated record. The transcript has 3 exons.